UACGGGGGGGCAAGCGUUGUUCGGAAUUACUGGGCGUAAAGGGCUCGUAGGCGGCCGUCUCAGUCAGACGUGAAAUCCCUCGGCUUAACCGAGGAACUGCGUCUGAUACUGGAUGGCUUGAAUCCGGGAGAGGGAUGCGGAAUUCCAGGUGUAGCGGUGAAAUGCGUAGAUAUCUGGAGGAACACCGGUGGCGAAGGCGGCAUCCUGGACCGGUAUUGACGCUGAGUGAGCGAAAGCCAGGGGAGCAAACAGG
Molecule: ribosomal RNA, 253 nt
Filed under: uncultured Acidobacteriota bacterium
Lineage: Bacteria; Pseudomonadati; Acidobacteriota
Description: uncultured Acidobacteria bacterium partial 16S ribosomal RNA
Rfam family: Bacterial small subunit ribosomal RNA
Source: RNAcentral